GAUCAUUACCGAGUGAGGGCCCUCUGGGUCCAACCUCCCCCCAUGUUUAUUGUACCUUGUUGCUUCGGCGGGCCCGCCUCACGGCCGCCGGGGGGCUUCUGCCCUCUGGCCCGCGCCCGCCGAAGACACCAUUGAACACUGUCUGAAGAUUGCAGUCUGAGCAAUUAGCUAAAUAAGUUAAAACUUUCAACAACGGAUCUCUUGGUUCCGGCAUCGAUGAAGAACGCAGCGAAAUGCGAUACGUAAUGUGAAUUGCAGAAUUCAGUGAAUCAUCGAGUCUUUGAACGCACAUUGCGCCCCUUGGUAUUCCGGGGGGCAUGCCUGUCCGAGCGUCAUUGCUGCCCUCAAGCACGGCUUGUGUGUUGGGCCCCGUCCUCCUUCCCGGGGGACGGGCCCGAAAGGCAGCGGCGGCACCGCGUCCGGUCCUCGAGCGUAUGGGGCUUUGUCACCCGCUCUUGUAGGCCCGGCCGGCGCUUGCCGACAACCAUCAAUCUUUUUUCAGGUUGACCUCGGAUCAGGUAGGGAUACCCGCUGAACUUAAGCAUAUCAAUAAGCGGAGGAAAAGAAACCAACAGGGAUUGCCUCAGUAACGGCGAGUGAAGCGGCAAGAGCUCAAAUUUGAAAGCUGGCCCCCUCGGGGUCCGCAUUGUAAUUUGCAGAGGAUGCUUCGGGAGUGGCCCCCAUCUAAGUGCUCUGGAACGGGCCGUCAUAGAGGGUGAGAAUCCCGUAUGGGAUGGGGUGUCCGCGACCAUGUGAAGCUCCUUCGACGAGUCGAGUUGUUUGGGAAUGCAGCUCUAAAUGGGUGGUAAAUUUCAUCUAAAGCUAAAUAUUGGCCGGAGACCGAUAGCGCACAAGUAGAGUGAUCGAAAGAUGAAAAGCACUUUGAAAAGAGAGUUAAAAAGCACGUGAAAUUGUUGAAAGGGAAGCGCUUGCGACCAGACUCGCCUACGGGGUUCAGCCGGUAUUCGUACCGGUGUACUUCCCCGUGGGCGGGCCAGCGUCGGUUUGGGCGGCCGGUCAAAGGCCCUCGGAAUGUAACGCCUCUCGGGGCGUCUUAUAGCCGAGGGUGCCAUGCGGCCAGCCCGGACCGAGGAACGCGCUC
RNAcentral lists this ribosomal RNA (1102 nucleotides) under fungal endophyte. RNAcentral describes it as "eukaryotic LSU rRNA". The stretch from base 505 to 1102 matches the Rfam family "Eukaryotic large subunit ribosomal RNA", at positions 1 to 602 of the family's 3401-position model. The record is from RNAcentral. Lineage: Eukaryota; Fungi.